Molecule: ribosomal RNA, 747 nt
Filed under: Triticum aestivum (bread wheat)
Lineage: Eukaryota; Viridiplantae; Streptophyta; Magnoliopsida; Poales; Poaceae
Description: partial small subunit ribosomal RNA
Source: RNAcentral
AUGCUCAAACGUGAGCCAAGCAAACAAAGUGGACAGGGGUCUACCUCUGAUGACCAUAUGGUAAAAAUGUUUACUGAACUUUGGAAGGUCGCAUGUCCACCAAAAGUGCACCACUUUCUAUGGAGAUUAGCUCUAAACAGCCACCCAAUGUAUAUGAAUAUAAGCAGACGGGGAGUUGAGCUUGAUACAAGAUGUGCAGUUUGUGGGCGACUGUUUGAAGAUGGUGGCCAUCUUUUCCUGAAGUGCAAGUUUGUCAAACAGAGGUGGCGAGCGCUACAACUGAAAGAUGUUAGAAUGCACCUAGCUAAGUGCAACUCGACCAAGGAGGUGGUGCAGGCUACCUUGAGGCUGACUGAAGAAAAGAAAUUGCUUACAGUGGCGCUCUUAUGGUGCUGGUGGAAGGAGCGUAACAAGGGCAGGCAUGGCGAAUGCCAACUCAACACUGAAGAAUUUCAAUUCACAGUCCGCAGGCAUGUCAGUGAGUGGAUAGAAUUUCUAGCACCGAAACUUUCUUCCCAGCAAAUCCCUCGCAGUUCCUGGAAAGCACCGCCGCAGGACAUGGUGAAGAUAAACGUGGAUGCUGCGUUUUCAGCAGAAACAGGAAAGGGUGGCUGGGGCUUUAUAUGUAGAGACUACUUAGGAGAAAUUCAGUUUGCAGCAGUAGGGGCUGGGCAAGAUUACUCUUGCACUCUGCAUGCUGAGACAGAGGCUUUGCGCCAAGCGGUGGCCAUGGCGGAUCAAAUUGGG